Molecule: ribosomal RNA, 497 nt
Filed under: uncultured bacterium
Lineage: Bacteria
Description: partial 16S ribosomal RNA
Rfam family: Bacterial small subunit ribosomal RNA
Source: RNAcentral
ACUCAAAUGAAUAGACGGGGGCCCGCACAAGCGGUGGAGCAUGUGGUUUAAUUCGACGCAACGCGAAGAACCUUACCCAGACUUGACUUCUACAGAAUCUGUACGAAAGUAUGGAGUGCCUUCGGGAGCUGUAAGACAGGUGCUGCAUGGCUGUCGUCAGCUCGUGUCGUGAGAUGUUGGGUUAAGUCCCGCAACGAGCGCAACCCUCGUCCUUAGUUACCAGCAUUAAGUUGGGGACUCUAGGGAGACCGCCGGUGUUAAACCGGAGGAAGGUGGGGAUGACGUCAAGUCCUCAUGGCCUUUAUGUCUGGGGCUACACACGUGCUACAAUGGCCGGUACAAAGGGCUGCAAUGCCGAAAGGCGGAGCCAAUCCCAAAAAACCGGUCUCAGUUCGGAUUGAAGUCUGCAACUCGACUUCAUGAAGCUGGAAUCGCUAGUAAUCGCGCAUCAGAACGGCGCGGUGAAUACGUUCCCGGGCCUUGUACACACCGCCCGU